RNAcentral lists this transfer RNA (71 nucleotides) under Solen strictus (Gould's razor shell). Its description in RNAcentral is "tRNA-Gln". Lineage: Eukaryota; Metazoa; Mollusca; Bivalvia; Adapedonta; Solenidae. The record is from RNAcentral.
AAAAAGAAGGUGUAACUAUUGGCACGCAGGUUUUUGGUUCCUGAGGGAACACAUCAAUGUGUUUCUUUUUA